CUUGGUCAUUUAGAGGAAGUAAAAGUCGUAACAAGGUUUCCGUAGGUGAACCUGCGGAAGGAUCAUUAUUGAAUUGUUUGUUUGAAUUGGCUUAAAACCCCAAUUCAGCAUCCAUAUCCAUAACACCUGUGCACUGUUGGAUGAACUCGACCCUUUGGGUCUUGCAAGUCCACUUUUACACCAAACAAUUUGUAACAAAUGUAGUCUUAUUAUAACAUAAUAAAACUUUCAACAACGGAUCUCUUGGUUCUCGCAUCGAUGAAGAACGCAGCGAAAUGCGAUAAGUAAUGUGAAUUGCAGAAUUCAGUGAAUCAUCGAAUCUUUGAACGCAAAUUGCACUCUUUGGUAUUCCGAAGAGUAUGCCUGUUUGAGUGUCAUGAAAACCUCAACUCCAAGUUUGGUUAAUCCAAGCUUGGAUGUUGGAUGUGGGCGUUUGUCAAUGAUGAAUUGACUUGCCUUAAAAAUGUGAGCUGGAUUAGUCUUUGCACUGGUUCCCCUAGGCGUAAUAAGUAUUUCGCUUAGGACACAAGUUUGCUUGUGGCCAGGACUUUGACAAUAGUCUGCUUUCUAUACCCCAUACGCACUUGUGUGUAUAUUCUUGACAUCUGGCCUCAAAUCAGGUAGGACUACCCGCUGAACUUAAGCAUAUCAAUAAGCGGAGGAAAAGAAACUAACAAGGAUUCCCUCAGUAACGGCGAGUGAAGCGGGAAGAGCUCAAAUUUGUAAUCUGGUGGCCUCAGGUCAUCCGAGUUGUAAUCUAUAGAGGUGUUUUCCGUGCUGGCUCAUGUACAAGUCCCUUGGAACGGGCGUCAUAGAGGGUGAGAAUCCCGUCCUUGACAUGAACUACCAGUGCUCUGUGAUACACUUUCAACGAGUCGAGUUGUUUGGGAAU
Molecule: small RNA, 892 nt
Filed under: uncultured Cryptococcus
Lineage: Eukaryota; Fungi; Basidiomycota; Tremellomycetes
Description: eukaryotic LSU rRNA
Rfam family: Eukaryotic large subunit ribosomal RNA (bases 607-892)
Source: RNAcentral